Molecule: ribosomal RNA, 600 nt
Filed under: uncultured archaeon
Lineage: Archaea
Description: bacterial SSU rRNA
Rfam family: Archaeal small subunit ribosomal RNA
Source: RNAcentral
CCCGGGAGAUGGAUUCUGAGACACGAAUCCAGGCCCUACGGGGCGCAGCAGUUACGAAAACUUGACAAUGCGGGAAACCGCGAUCAGGGAAUUCCAAGUGCAUGCACAAUGUGUAUGCUGUUCCAUUGUCUUAAAAACAUAGGAAGUAAGGGCUGGGUAAGACAGGUGCCAGCCGCCACAGUAAUACCUGCAGCCCGAGUGGUGGUCGAUAUUAUUGAGCCUAAAGCGUCCGUAGCCGGACCAGUAAAUUCUUGGGUAAAUCGGGCAGCUUAACUGUCCGACUUCCGAGGAGACUGCUAGUCUUGGGACUGGGAGAGGUCAGAGGUACUCCAGGGGUAGGGGCUAAAUCCUGUAAUCCUUGGGGGACCACCAGUGGCGAAGGCGUCUGACUAGAACGGAUCCGACGGUAAGGGACGAAACCCUGGGGCGCAAACCGGAUUAGAUACCCGGGUAGUCCAGGGCGUAAACGCUGCAGGCUUGGUGUUGAUUUAUCCUGCGAGGAUGCUCAGUGCCGGAGGAGGAAAGAACCCUUUUCUGGGAGUACUCCGCAAGUAUAAACUUAAAGGAAAUGGCGGAAGAACCCAAGCGAGGGAAAACUUG